RNAcentral lists this ribosomal RNA (432 nucleotides) under uncultured bacterium. RNAcentral's name for it is "partial 16S ribosomal RNA". It matches the Rfam family "Bacterial small subunit ribosomal RNA", at positions 29 to 506 of the family's 1533-position model. The record is from RNAcentral.
AACGAACGCUGGCGGCAUGCCUAACACAUGCAAGUCGAACGAAACCUUCGGGUCUAUUGGCGCACGGGUGCGUAACGCGUGGGAACCGGCCCUUAGGUUCGGAAUAACUCCCCGAAAGGGGUGCUAAUACCGGAUAAUGUCUUCGGACCAAAGAUUUAUGGCCUUUGGAUGGGCCCGCGUUGGAUUAGCUAGUUGGGAGGGUAAAAGCCUACCAAGGCGACGAUCCAUAGCUGGUCUGAGAGGAUGAUCAGCAACACUGGGACUGAGACACGGCCCAGACUCCUAGGGGAGGCAGCAGUGGGGAAUAUUGGACAAUGGGCGAAAGACUGAUCCAGCAAGGCCGCGUGAGUGAUGAAGGCCUUAGGGUUGUAAAGCUCUUUUACCCGGGAUGAUAAUGACAGUACCGGGAGAAUAAACUCCGGCUAACUCCGU